GGAACAGAGUUUGAAAGGCUGGAAAAAGGAAAAGGAGUCUGAUUUGUCCCAGGCUGGACUUCUCUCGAUUUAGGUGUUCCAGACCGUGUUAUUGGAGGUGAAAUCACUGAGGAAAACUUGGCUGACAUCCUUAGAUGUGAUGUCUUUAAUACCUUGCAAACUUUAGCUUAAAACAUUAGAUUUCCACCUCUAAAAAGUAAUUAAUUUGAUAAAUAAGCUAGUUGCCACUAGUUGCCCAAACGGUAAUGUUAUUCACCAUUCUAUUUGGAGACCUCUGUAAAAAGAUGAAAAAGAGUAGAUUUUUACACCAAAAUCCCUUUUAAAUGUAAAUUGUUUAAUAGGACACUACUGUAAUUUCAUUUAAAGGCAAAGUUCUGAUAUACAGUGGAGGAUUUGGAUUCAAGUCAUGUUGUUGUAUGUUGACUAACUGCCUCAGGAGACAGACUUGUGACAAAUUUGGGAGUGGUCUGAUCUCCCCCCUUCUGGGCUCCCUGCAUUUACUGUUUAAGAAUGUGCAUAGGAAGGUAGUACUGCUCUUAUCAGCAAAGCCAUGGAGGAAUAACCAGUAGAAGAGGUUUUAGGGGUAAAGUGCUAAGACUUUCAACUCCAUGAUCCCAAAAGGUGAGGAUUCAACUCCACAGCGGGAAGAAGUCAGGCCUCUGACAAUUCUCCCAGUCUAUGAGCAAGUAGGAGCAAUGUUGCUCAAUAUCUCACGUACUGCAUGGCUGUGGGUAACUUGUGCUGCAUCUCUAGGAGAGCCCUUCUUGCCUGCCCCUCCUUCUCUAUUUUAUGUUUUAGGAAGUACUGUUCUUGGAUUCUCACCUCUAUUCCACAAGCAACUGAAAUGAACGGACCUAUAUAGAAGGCAAAUCUGAAAUAGAGACAUCACCCAUGGCCAGACCCAUUAAUUAUUUGGGUAUAUCUGUUUCUACUGGAGAAUUUGUUGUUUUGUAUGAUGAAACAUCUUGAUUCCCUAUCAGGAAGAAAGACAGAGGAAAGCAGACUAAUGAAGCAUCGAGGAGGACUUCUGAUCAGCUGAAGGGGCAAGAGGAGCAGCUGGCAGUGACCACAUUCAGUGUAGCAGUCCUAUCACCAGAGCUCAUUCCUAGAAUAACAGCCCCACCAGCAAAUAGGUAGCUGUUUUCAUACUAUUAUAGUUUUGCUUAUC
Molecule: long non-coding RNA, 1168 nt
Filed under: Columba livia (rock pigeon)
Lineage: Eukaryota; Metazoa; Chordata; Aves; Columbiformes; Columbidae
Description: partial uncharacterized LOC102095249, transcript variant X1
Source: RNAcentral